GACUAUGUGAAAUUAUGAGGAGAAGAAGCAUUUCUGCCAAGUGCCAACACGUUUUAAACACUGAAGCAAGAUAGGCUCUAAUUUGCCUUAAGACUCAAUAUUUUUUAUUCAGCAGGCAGGAAGUGAGGAUGUCAGCCAGGAAAAAAGGAAUGACUGGAUAUGAAAAACAUACUGGCCAAUGUCAAACUAGACCAAAGCAUUCUUUGAGUUUUGCCAACUUCAUGAGUUUUGAGUUUUGACUUUACUAAAACUCAUGAGAAUGACUUUACUCAAUUUCAGUACUAGCCAAGGACUCCAGGUAUCAGAGGUGAGAGAAAUGAAAUAUGAAGUGAGACUAUAUGUAAUAUAAACAGAAAAUUCUUUUUUUUUUUCUUUUGAGAUGGAAUCUCGCUUGUUGCCCAGGAUGGAGUGCAGUGGUGCCAUCUUGGCUCACUACAACCUCUGUCUCCCGGGUUCAAGUGAUUCUUCUGCCUCAGCCUCCUGAGUAGCUGGGACUACAGAUGCCUGCCACCAUGCCCAGCUAAUUUUUGUAUUUUUAGUAGAGAUGGGGUUUCACCACGUUGGCCAGGCAGGUCUUGAACUCCUGACCUCGUGAUCCACCUGCCUUGGCCUCCCAAAGUGCUGGGAUUACAGGCAUGAGCCACCGCGCCCAGCAGAAAAUUCUUUAGUUCAGCAUCAAAGCAGGAAUUAUUACAGCAUUUAUGGAUAUUUAAUUUUAUUUGAUACACUUGGAUGCAACUUUACUCAUUACCAUUUUUAAACCCAUGUUUAAAAGUUUUAAAAUUUGGGUAGAGGCAGAAAGAGGAGGUUGAGUUGGAGAUGCUGGGGUAGUCAGCAGCUCAGUCAUCGGUGCUUGUGGGCUUUUUUUGAUCCGGGCCUUGACUCUCUCUGGAAUGGGAGGCUUCGACGUCAAGAAGGAGCUGCUGCCACCCGUAGUUCUGAGCUUGAAGUUGCUAGGACUUCUUUCAAACUUGUAUGCUGAAGAGACUCAGAUGUUGGCCUCAGCUCCUAGGCUGAAUUCAGCAGAUCGGCCCAUGAAAAACCCUAUAUUGAGACAAAGCAAAGGAUCUGUCAGAAAGCAACACCUGUUGUCCUGGGCUUGACACCAAGGAAGAGGACAGGUAGUGGAAAUCCUGCAAUCUGAAAAGCAGACAGAAAGGUGACAAAGCAGCUGAAGAUAGGUGGUGGAGAGAGGAAUAACAACCCAGCUCCUCCAUCUAGAAAGGAGAGUAAGAACUACCAGUAGCUUAAUAGAAGACCAAGGAUCAGAAUUCCCCGAUGAAGACUGUUUGUAAGAAGAAAGAGGACAGGGUUAUAACUCAUCAGCAACUGCCUGGCAAGCCAUGCAAGAUAAGGGGACUAACAAAACUUUUCCAAAUAAUCAAAUUGGAGCUCUAGUUUAUCAAGUCCCAGCUUACUCUAAGAUCUAAAGUUAUGGCCGGGUGCAGUGGCUCACAACUGUAAUCCCAGCACUUUGGGAGGCUGAAGCGGGUGGAUCACCUGAGGUCAGGAGUUCAAGACCAGCCUGGCCAACAUGGUGAAACCUUGUCUCUACUAAAAGUACAAAAAAAUUAGCUGGGCAUGGUCGUGGGCAACUGUAAUCCCAGCUACUCGGAAGGCUGAGGCAGGAGAAUCGCUUGAACCCGGGAGGCAGAGGUUGCAGUGAGCCAAGAUCACACCAUUGCACUCCAGCCUGGGCAACAAGAAAGAAACUCUACCUCAAAAAAAAAAAAACAAAAAAAACUUAAAAUCUGAAGCUAACCAGAAUGAUGCCAGAGCCAAAUGCAGUCAGCUGCCAUCACCAAGUAUUCUUCCCUCACCACCAAACCACUGGGUUCCUGAUAUGGUUUGGAUCUGUGUCCCCGCCCAAAUAUCAUGUAGAAUUGUAAACACCAAUGUUGGAGGUGGGACCUGCUGGGAGGUGAUUGGAUCAUGGGGGCGGAUUUCCUUCUUGGUGCUGUUCUUGUGAUAGCGAGUGAGUUCUCAUGAGAUAUGGUUGUUUAAAAGUGUGUGGCAUCUCCUCGCCUUUCUCCUGCUCCUGUCAUGUGAAGUGCUUGCUCUCCCUUUGCCUUCCAACACGAUUGUAAGUUCCCUCCCCAGAGGCCUUCCCAGAAGCUGAUGCCACCAUGCUUCCCAUACAGCCUGCGGAACUGUGAGCCAAUUAAACCUCUUUUCUUUAUAAAUUACCCAGUCUCAGGUAUUUCUUUAUGGCAAUACAAAAAUGGACUAAUAUACUUCCUAUUGCCUUUACUCCUUUAGAUAAGAAAAUAAAGACAUUUGAACGUAAAAUCUAAAGUGCAGAUAUAGGCCAGGCGCAGUGGCUCAUGCCUGUAAUCCCAGCACUUUGAGAGGUC
This 2354-nucleotide long non-coding RNA is filed under the name Pan troglodytes (chimpanzee). RNAcentral's name for it is "long non-coding RNA NONPTRT017528". The record is from RNAcentral. Lineage: Eukaryota; Metazoa; Chordata; Mammalia; Primates; Hominidae.